RNAcentral lists this transfer RNA (71 nucleotides) under Stegodyphus mimosarum. It matches the Rfam family "tRNA". From Rfam's summary of the family: Transfer RNA (tRNA) molecules are approximately 80 nucleotides in length. Their secondary structure includes four short double-helical elements and three loops (D, anti-codon, and T loops). Further hydrogen bonds mediate the characteristic L-shaped molecular structure. tRNAs have two regions of fundamental functional importance: the anti-codon, which is responsible for specific mRNA codon recognition, and the 3' end, to which the tRNAs corresponding amino acid is attached (by aminoacyl-tRNA synthetases). tRNAs cope with the degeneracy of the genetic code in two manners: having more than one tRNA (with a specific anti-codon) for a particular amino acid; and 'wobble' base-pairing, i.e. permitting non-standard base-pairing at the 3rd anti-codon position. Lineage: Eukaryota; Metazoa; Arthropoda; Arachnida; Araneae; Eresidae. The record is from Rfam by way of RNAcentral.
GGCCCGUUAGCUCAGUUGGUUAGAGUGUCGUGCUAAUAACGCGAAGGUCGUGGGUUCGAUCCCACGGGCCA